This 52-nucleotide non-coding RNA is filed under the name unclassified sequences. The record is from Rfam.
GUACGUUCACCCUUCGGGGCGCAUAUCUACCAUGCAUGGAACGGGGCAUGGA